Molecule: small nuclear RNA, 108 nt
Organism: Nyctereutes procyonoides (raccoon dog)
Lineage: Eukaryota; Metazoa; Chordata; Mammalia; Carnivora; Canidae
Source: RefSeq, a predicted model, not a curated record
UCAGGAUCCCUUUGCACUUAAAAAUUAUUGAAUUCCCCAGUACAGAGAAGAUCAGCAUGGCCCCUGUACAAGGAUGGCAUGCAACUUCAUGAAGCAGUCCAUAUUUCU